RNAcentral lists this ribosomal RNA (229 nucleotides) under uncultured bacterium. Its description in RNAcentral is "partial 16S ribosomal RNA". It matches the Rfam family "Bacterial small subunit ribosomal RNA", at positions 568 to 796 of the family's 1533-position model. The record is from RNAcentral.
CGUGUAGGCGGAUUAUUAAGUCAGGUGUGAAAUCUCGGGGCCUAACCCCGAAACUGCGCCUGAAACUGAUAUUCUAGAAUCUCGGAGAGGGAAGGGGAAUUUCGCAUGUAGGAGUAAAAUCCGUAGAGAUGCGAAGGAACACCAGAGGCGAAGGCGCCUUCCUGGACGAGUAUUGACGCUGAGGCGCGAAAGCGUGGGGAGCAAACAGGAUUAGAUACCCUGGUAGUCC